AGUGAACGCUGGCGGUAGGCCUAACACAUGCAAGUCGAACGGCAGCACAGUAAGAGCUUGCUCUUACGGGUGGCGAGUGGCGGACGGGUGAGGAAUACAUCGGAAUCUACUUUUUCGUGGGGGAUAACGUAGGGAAACUUACGCUAAUACCGCAUACGACCUACGGGUGAAAGCAGGGGAUCUUCGGACCUUGCGCGAUUGAAUGAGCCGAUGUCGGAUUAGCUAGUUGGCGGGGUAAAGGCCCACCAAGGCGACGAUCCGUAGCUGGUCUGAGAGGGUGAGCAGCCACACUGGGACUGAGACACGGUCCAGACUCCUACGGGAGGCAGCAGUGGGGAAUAUUGGACAAUGGGAGCAAGCCUGAUCCAGCCAUACCGCGUGGGUGAAGAAGGCCUUCGGGUUGUAGAGCCCUUUUGUUGGGAAAGAAAAGCAGCAGAUUAAUACCCCGCUGUUCUGACGGUACCCAAAGAAUAAGCACCGGCUAACUUCGUG
This 492-nucleotide ribosomal RNA is filed under the name uncultured bacterium. RNAcentral's name for it is "partial 16S ribosomal RNA". It matches the Rfam family "Bacterial small subunit ribosomal RNA", at positions 29 to 507 of the family's 1533-position model. The record is from RNAcentral.